GGAUCGCGAGACAAAGCCUCCGUUCGUCCUGUGUAAAAACCUUCGUCCGUCCCAUAUAAAAAGUUCCAAAGGUGUUUUAUUUUUUUUGGUUUUUGGAGCGUCGGGGCCAUCCUCUCUCUCACUCGCCGUGAGCCUCCACACUCCUUUUUCUUCUAUGGAGGGGUGGCAUUGGAGGCCCCCGGCAUGGCAUCAUCAUCGUCCUCGGCGUUGGUGAGGAGCUCGAUCCCGUUCGACUUUACCGAAUCUAGAGUUCUUGGACAGAGAUGAAAUGGCACGGGAAGGGUGGGCCGCGGUGUUAGAGACCCAUGGUGUGGCAUCGACGUUGUCGUCGUCCUCGGCAUGUCGCGUUGGCUCGAGAGGCUUUGGUGGACGAAUGCCGAUGGUUGAAUUUCAGCGCACUCCGGAUAGAAAAUCGUGUUAGUCUCGAAGGUCAUCUUGUGGGCUGGCUCUCAGUGGCUUUUCUUUUUAUUAUGAGAUUUAUUUCUUCCUUUUGCUAAUAUCAA
Molecule: non-coding RNA, 503 nt
Organism: Elaeis guineensis (African oil palm)
Lineage: Eukaryota; Viridiplantae; Streptophyta; Magnoliopsida; Arecales; Arecaceae
Source: RefSeq, a predicted model, not a curated record